UGGAAUUACAGGCGUGAGCCACCGUGUCUGGACCCCAAAAGCAGUUUUUGCUAAAGCAAAACAAACUUCCUUGAUUCAGACGAUCAACUCUACCAUAUUCAUCCGUUAUUCUCACCUAUCGUCAAACAUUUCACAAAAGCUGUGGUAUAGACCAUCAGCUUAACGCAGUAUGUAAUCAGAUAGAUAAGUUAACACACACAUAAGGAGAAAAGUCGUUCUCACACGAGGUCUUCCAUGCAAUGUAGAAAUUCUUUAGCUUUCUCAGGUAAAAAAUAUUGCUGAGAACAGAAAGUUCUGGAAGGCAGUUCAUAGAGCCCUCAGGCCGAUCAUUACUUGGAUAGCAAUUUUCUCAGGUGUGGAUAAUUAGCUGUAGCUGAAAAGGCAAAAGUAUGUCCCCCAGCAAGCAGGAACAAACCUAGCAUUCGUCUUAAUUUGCAAAAGGUUUCUAAUAGCAGCAUUUUUAAUUGCCAGACCAAAUAUCUAGCAGCUGCCACCAGCCCAGGUCCUGAGGCUGGAAUGCAGCCUGACUAUUAAUUUACUGAAAGCCUGGCAAAACAAAGUUGUAUGCUGGUUUCUCCAGAAAAGUCUCCUCUUUCAAUAACAGAUCUUCCUCGGGCUUCCUAACCUCUUCCCAGGGUCUCAGUGAAGACAGAAGAAACAAAAGCGUCACUGUGGAUCCCAUCACAGCAUUGUCGAGAGACCUAUCACUGCCUGCCACCAGAGAGCCAAAGCUUCAUCUUGUCAAAAGCUCAAAAGCCCUGGGAUUUUCCAUUCUUCCUAUCUGUCAUUGUGAAGACACGCACACACUCAUUAACACCACAUUAUUAUCACUCUCACACCUGUCAGGAUGACAGCAGCCAACAUCCACUGAGUGGUUACUCCCUGGCACUGCGUAGUCCAGCACUUCAUAAACUUUAUUUUCAUUUCAUCUUCACACCAACUACAUAAGCAUAAAAACAAGAUAAAAAUUGUGCAGAGCUGCUCUAUCCCACAAUAAAGAUUGAACAAUAAGCUGGAGUGUAUUUACCUCAUGGCAUAUCUGCUAGAAACUUGGGAUUGGCAAAUGGAGAUGAGAAGAGAAUCAGAAGGGUGAGAACCCCAAUAUCUCUUUUUCCUCUAAGGUUUCUAAAUUCAACUAUUUGAAUCAGGGGCUCCAGCUAGAUCUAUUCUUUUUAUUUUAAUUUAAUUUUUUUGAGACAGAGCCUCCCUGUGUCACCCAGGCUGGAGUGCAGUGGCACGAUCUCAGCUCACUGCAACCUCAGCCUCCCAAGUUGCUGGGAUUGCCUGCCUUGGCCUCCCAAAGGGCUGAGAUUGCAGGUGUGAGCCACUGUGCCCAGCCUGGAUCUACUCUAACUGCGUAAGUGACAAAACCCUAAUGGCCCCCAGGCUUACUUACCGGAACCUGCCACUUACUGGCCUCAGGGCCUUCAAGACUUCCUGGAUAUCAGCAGCCAGUAUCACCACUGGUUCCUGGAGUACAACCAACUCCCUGAAAAGUAAUAUUAUUGAAAAAGAAAAAUAGAAAUAAAAGGAAAA
RNAcentral lists this long non-coding RNA (1536 nucleotides) under Callithrix jacchus (white-tufted-ear marmoset). Its description in RNAcentral is "lncRNA (ENSCJAG00000086589.1)". Lineage: Eukaryota; Metazoa; Chordata; Mammalia; Primates; Cebidae. The record is from RNAcentral.